CGUGUAGGCGGCCUAGUAAGUCAGAUGUGAAAGCCCUUGGCUUAACCAAGGAAGGGCAUUUGAAACUGCUUGGCUUGAGUACGGGAGGGGGAAGCGGAAUUCCCGGUGUAGAGGUGAAAUUCGUAGAUAUCGGGAGGAACACCGGUGGCGAAGGCGGCUUCCUGGACCGAUACUGACGCUGAGACGCGAAAGCGUGGGGAGCAAACAGGAUUAGAUACCCUGGUAGUCCACGCCAUAAACGUUGGGCACUAGGUGUUGCGGGUAUUGACCCCUGCAGUGCCGAAGCUAACGCAUUAAGUGCCCCGCCUGGGGAGUACGGUCGCAAGGCUAAA
Molecule: ribosomal RNA, 332 nt
Filed under: uncultured bacterium
Lineage: Bacteria
Description: bacterial SSU rRNA
Rfam family: Bacterial small subunit ribosomal RNA
Source: RNAcentral